This 22-nucleotide microRNA is filed under the name Bos taurus (domestic cattle). Its description in RNAcentral is "bta-miR-2419-3p". Lineage: Eukaryota; Metazoa; Chordata; Mammalia; Artiodactyla; Bovidae. The record is from miRBase by way of RNAcentral.
CAGGCGGGUGCUAAUACGAUCA